GGAUUCCAAAUUAGAUUGUCACCUCAUUCUCAACAGGCGUUCAUGAAUUUCCCGGUGGUAAUAAAGAGUCGAAAAGAAAUAACAAAAUUUCAUAAAGGCUUGCACUAGUUCCAAGCUGUGUGGAGACAUCAUGGAAAGGUGGUUCUCCUCAAAAGCUGCCGAGAUGACUACAGAAAACAAAUGGAGAGGAUCUUGACUCUGCCUCCAGCUGUGGCAGCUUUUCCACCUAGAGAGAGGGAGUGGCUGAAGGAUGAUGGCCGUUCCCUUCCCUGCCUCCUCGAAGAGACAUUCACUGCCCGCUCUGUGCUCCCAGUGUCAGAGAAAGGACAGGCCCUUUCCAUACUAAGGUUUUGGCAAGUACUAUCUGAACUUUUAAGAAGCUGAAAGACCCUGCAGGGAUUCUGCUGCCAAAGUUUUUGAGGUCCUGUGGACAAAACAGAGAAAAAGAUUGGCUGCCUUCUGGAAGGGGGUCCAGACAGCAACAAGCAAGAAAAAUAUAGGAUCCUAAGAAAUGCUAUUGAACGUCAAUGUCAAUCCAAGUGAUGACUACAGGAGCAUCCUAGAAAUCCAUGGUCUCGACUCAGCAGGAACAAGUGGAGAAGCUAAGAAUAGAGGAGGGCCAGCACCGAGGGAUGUUGUCAAGACCAGCUUUAUUGUGCAGGUUUCUUCCCAUGCUCUCAUGCUCUAUUCUGUAUGGCCUCUGAGGCCAAAACAUGGCCUUAAAAAAUAGUCUCAUGAAAUGUCAAAGUUCUAUUAUUUCCUAAAUCCAUCUGGAAAUUUGAGACUGCUUCUAAGUUCUCAUUGUCCUAAGAGAACUGAUGAAUUGAUGAAUGUCUGGUGGGCUGGGUGGGUGUUCUGAAGCUCCCACUCACCAAGCCUUGGCAGGUUCCUAAAAGAUGAAAGGAAAAUAAGGAGGGAGGGAUAUCCUGUUGGUUGCUCCUGUUCUCAAUGGAGAGCUGACCCUGCUUUUGCCUUUUCAUCAACGAGUCCAGUGAGAGUAGUUUUCGGAGCCUAAAGUGCAAGUGAGCACACUCUUGUGAACUGCUAGCUGAGCCUGUAGGGCUGUCUGCUGCUGUCCUUUGUCCAAGGAGGGUUGCCCUUAAGGACUCAUUACCACACGUCCCCUGAGAGUGUCCAACCUCUGCAAACUCACCCUAUUAUUCCCCUGAGAUGGCAUCGUGGGCUGAAUUUUGCCCCCCAAAAGUCAUAUGUUGAAGUCCUAAACCCUAGUAUCUCUGCAUGUGGCGAUAUUUGGAGACAGAGACUUUAAAGAGGUAAUUAAGUUAAAUUGGGUCACUAAGAUGGGUCCGAAUCCAAUGUGACUGGCGUCCUUACAAGAAGACGAGAUUAGGACUGCGGCAACACAGAGAGACAACCCUGGGAGAGACACAGCAGAAGAUGGCCAUCUGCCAGCCAAGGAGAGAGACCUCAGAAGAAACCAAAGCUAUUAACGCCUUGACCUUGGACUUCUAGCCUCCAGAAUUGUGAGAAGACAAAUUUCUGUUGUUUAAGCCCCCCGGUCUGUGGUAUUUGGUUGUGGCAGCCCAAACGAGCCAGUACAGAUGUCCUCUAUUCUUUCUAGUGCCGGAGCAACACAAACUCCCUAGGACGUCCCUCUGGCCCGAAGAGGGAGAGCGAAGAAACCAGAAAAUCCUAGAUGAGUGACAGCUGCUUUCCUGAUUUUUAAGAAGUGUUGAUUCCUUUGUGAGACAAGUUGUUGACCUGAGCUCCAAGUGAAACAGCCUACAGAUAUUGACCAAGCUUCUAGGAUCUCAACAGGACACAAGCCCUGUACUGUAGGAAAGCUGCCUGUGCUGUGAAGCCCACAGCUCAAAGUCCAAAAGACCCUCUUUGAAACCUCAGUUCUGCCACUUUCCAGCUGUGUGAGCUUGAAUUUCUCCCAAUGUGCAACACGGAGAACAAACUUCAGGUAAUUGAGUUCUCCAGAGCUGGUGUCAGGACAGCAGACUUGAAGGUAAAGGAUCCAUCUGAAGCCUGUUCCCGGGAGCCGAGGGAGUGACAGUGAGGCAGCCAUGGGUGAGCACUUGGACUGCAGAAAAUGGGCCAGAAGCCACCCCAUCUCUGCCAAUGAUCUGAGCCUGGUGGAGGUGGGCGGCUGGAACCCCUGAAGAGAAGGCCCUGUCCUCAUGUAACUCAGAUCAGAGGUGCAGUGCAAGACAGAUGUGCACGGGCUGUAGGUGGUAAAAGAACAUACUAUAGGAGGAAGGAUAAUGUCCUGAAAAGAUUUACAGAUUGAG
Long non-coding RNA from Equus caballus (horse), 2258 nucleotides. Lineage: Eukaryota; Metazoa; Chordata; Mammalia; Perissodactyla; Equidae. The record is from Ensembl.